Molecule: non-coding RNA, 56 nt
Filed under: Allobosea sp.
Lineage: Bacteria; Pseudomonadati; Pseudomonadota; Alphaproteobacteria; Hyphomicrobiales; Alloboseaceae
Also listed under: 1 other name
Description: Bosea sp. Li+-I sequence
Rfam family: nhaA-I RNA
About the family: Acidobacteria, Alphaproteobacteria, Betaproteobacteria and Gammaproteobacteria, Verrucomicrobia, cand. division NC10. Downstream gene
Source: RNAcentral
GGGUGCGUGAUCCGGCCGUGGGUCAGCAGGCAAUGCCGCUGGUCGGGCCGCCAGCG